Non-coding RNA from Phalacrocorax carbo (great cormorant), 279 nucleotides. The record is from RefSeq and is a predicted model, not a curated record. NCBI's taxonomy places the organism in Eukaryota, Metazoa, Chordata, Aves, Suliformes, Phalacrocoracidae.
CGCCCCCCCCACGCAGGAGCUUCCCAGUGUGUGGGAGGCGGCGGCUGCCCCCAUCGCUCCGCUCCAGAGUGAACACCCAGGGCGCGGGGGGGGGGCGGCGGGGGGAGGGAGGCGCAGGCAGGCGCCAACCGCAGCGUUGGCAUCAUUCCGCUCCAGAGUGAACGAGAAGCUGCCCGGGCCAAGGACCCCUUCAACUAUGACUACGAGACGCUGCGGCUGGCGGGGCUGGUCCUGGCCAUCGCCAUGUUUGUCCUCGGGGUCCUCAUCGCCCUCAGUGAG